RNAcentral lists this transfer RNA (69 nucleotides) under Ceratias sp. CC62C. Its description in RNAcentral is "tRNA-His". It matches the Rfam family "tRNA". From Rfam's summary of the family: Transfer RNA (tRNA) molecules are approximately 80 nucleotides in length. Their secondary structure includes four short double-helical elements and three loops (D, anti-codon, and T loops). RNAcentral also lists the same sequence under 3 other names. The record is from RNAcentral. Lineage: Eukaryota; Metazoa; Chordata; Actinopteri; Lophiiformes; Ceratiidae.
GUAGGCAUAGUUUAACGAGAACAUUAGAUUGUGAUUCUAAAGACAGGGGUUAAAGCCCCCUUGCCCACC